GGCAGCAGCCGCGGUAAUACCGGCGGCUCGAGUGGUGGCCACUUUUAUUGGGCUUAAAGCGUUCGUAGCUGGGUUGUUAAGUCUCUUGGGAAAUCCGGCAGCUUAACUGUCGGGCGUCUAAGGGAUACUGGUAAUCUUGGAACCGGGAGAGGUGAGGGGUACUUCGGGGGUAGGAGUGAAAUCCUGUAAUCCUCGAGGGGCCACCUGUGGCGAAGGCGCCUCACCAGAACGGCUUCGACAGUGAGGGACGAAAGCUGGGGGAGCAAACCGGAUUAGAUACCCGGGUAGUCCCAGCCGUAAACGAUGUGCGUUAGGUGUAUCGACGACCACGAGUCGUCGAGGUGCCGAAGGGAAACCGUGAAACGUACCGCCUGGGAAGUACGGUCGCAAGGCUGAAACUUAAAGGAAUUGGCGGGGGAGCACCACAACAGGUGGAGCCUGCCGGUUUAAUUGGACUCAACGCCGGAAAUCUCACCGGAUAAGACAGCUGAAUGAUUGCCGGGCUGAAGACUCUGCAUGACUAGCUGAGGGGUGGUGCAUGG
RNAcentral lists this ribosomal RNA (542 nucleotides) under uncultured archaeon. RNAcentral describes it as "bacterial SSU rRNA". It matches the Rfam family "Archaeal small subunit ribosomal RNA", at positions 457 to 997 of the family's 1478-position model. The record is from RNAcentral.